This 23-nucleotide non-coding RNA is filed under the name Arabidopsis thaliana (thale cress). The record is from RNAcentral. Lineage: Eukaryota; Viridiplantae; Streptophyta; Magnoliopsida; Brassicales; Brassicaceae. RNAcentral also lists the same sequence under 1 other name.
CUAUGACUCUCUUAAGGUAGCCA